This is an RNA transcript of Mercurialis annua (annual mercury), 2114 nucleotides long. It is a transcript of the gene named transcription termination factor MTERF4, chloroplastic, with no coding region annotated. The transcript has 3 exons. Lineage: Eukaryota; Viridiplantae; Streptophyta; Magnoliopsida; Malpighiales; Euphorbiaceae. The record is from RefSeq and is a predicted model, not a curated record.
GUGAUAAUAUUGAAUUAGAUUACGAAGAUGAAGAAGCCAUUGAUGCUGACCCAGAAAAACCUUACCCUUCUUCUCUGUGGACUGUGAAGCCAAAAGCGUAUCUCAUUUCCAACAAAAUUGGCGUGCAGUGCAGGAAGGACCAUAGGAGCAUAUAAUGAAGAUUGGAAGCUAUGCUGGAAUUACCCGACCUGCUUUUUUACUUGUACAUCCAGAUUUACCCAUUCUUAUAUACGGUAAGCCACAGUUGAAACCUAUGGUGCCUCUUGGAAUUUCCGGGCACUAUGCGAGGAGGAUGGGAUUGAUUACGAAGAUUGGAUGUUCGGUUGCUGAAAGAACAUUCACAUCCACUUCUAGAGAUUCAUCUAAGCCCAAAACGAGGGAUGUUCGUGGGGGUCGGAAGCAAGGAGGUUCGUCACCCCGGUAUAUGAGUCCCACUUUACGAGAUAUGAAGAAUGAGAAGAUAGCGAAUCGCGCCAGGGUUUAUGAGUUUCUAAGGAGUAUUGGCAUUGUCCCUGAUGAGCUUGAUGGUUUGGAACUGCCUGUCACGGCUGAGGUUAUGAGAGAACGUGUCGAUUUUCUCCACCACUUGGGUCUUACAGUUGAAGACAUUAAUAACUAUCCUCUUGUUCUUGGCUGCAGUGUGAAAAAGAACAUGGUUCCUGUUCUUGACUAUCUGGGCAAAUUGGGUGUUAGGAAAUCAUCUUUCAGUGAGUUUAUUCGAAGAUACCCGCAAGUUCUUCACGCUAGCGUUGUUGUAGAUAUUGCUCCAGUGGUCAAGUACCUUCAAGGGAUGGAUAUCAAGCCAAAUGACAUUCCUGUGGUCCUUGAGAAAUACCCAGAAGUAUUGGGGUUCAAACUUGAAGGGACCAUGAGCACGGCGGUCGCUUAUUUGGUUGGAAUUGGGGUGGCAAGGAGAGAAAUUGGGAUUAUGCUAACUAAAUAUCCAGAGAUUCUGGGUAUGCGAGUAGGACGGGUUGUCAAGCCUUUUGUUGAGUAUCUCGAAAGUUUGGGCAUCCCGAGAUUAGCUGUAGCUAGACUUAUAGAGAAGCGGCCACACAUUCUUGGGUUUGGAUUACAGGACAGAGUCAUACCAAAUAUCGAAUGUCUUCUGAACUGCAAUGUAAGAAGAGCAUCACUUCCUUCUGUUGUAGCACAAUAUCCUGAGAUUAUAGGAAUUGACCUAGAGCCAAAGCUUAUUAGCCAACAGAGUUUGCUUCAUUCAAUUAUUGAGUUGGGUUCUGAGGAGUUUAGCAGAGUUUUUGAAAAGAUGCCGCAGAUUGUUAGUCUUGGUAAAACAGCUAUUGUGAAGCAUGUGGACUUCUUGAAGGAUUGUGGGUUUUCCUUGCAACAAGUGAGGGAGAUUGUUCAGGGAUGUCCUCAGGUGCUUGCUCUGAACAUUGACAUUAUGAAACUUAGCUUUGAUUACUUCAAAAUGGAGAUGGGAAGACCUUUGGAUGAUUUGGUUACAUUUCCAGCGUUCUUUACAUAUGGUCUUGAGUCUACUAUAAAGCCGAGACAUAAAAUGAUUGCAAAGAAGGGGUUGAAAUGUUCACUUUCAUGGCUUCUUAAUUGUUCUGAUGAGAAGUUUGAGCAAAGAAUGGAUUAUGAGACCAUUGACAUGGAGGAAAUGGAAAUGCCAUCAUUUGACAUGAAUACUCUCAUGGAACCAAGGAGCGAUGAUGAGUCUGAUUCUGACUAUGAAGAUUACAGUGAAGAUGAGGAAGUAUAGUCGCUGAGUCGGGUUUAGCUGCCGUUUGCUGUGGAGAAUCUUGGCUUUGUGAAGAUGGAUUUUCAUGUAGAGUAGGUUUAAUCAGAGGACUGGUGAAACUUGGUAAAUCAAUAUUGAGACAUGCUCUGCUUCAGGUGGCCACCUAAUUAUUCAGUUUUUGUAAGAACAUUUGAACCGGUCCUUCCUGCUAGACUCAUUUCCGCUCCUUUUCGAAUUCGGUGUAAAAUUGUACCUUUCCUAGUCUAAGAGGAACAAUAUCCUAGGUGAUUGAGCUUGGCCUUUAUAGAAGACCUCUUUAUUUAUAAGGGUCUUACUUUUCAAACUUGUAGUUGUAACCAAACUAAUCAAUAGAUAAGAAUGCUUGCAGAAUUUUGUUGCAUGCUCA